This 559-nucleotide ribosomal RNA is filed under the name Priestia flexa. RNAcentral describes it as "bacterial SSU rRNA". It matches the Rfam family "Bacterial small subunit ribosomal RNA", at positions 65 to 605 of the family's 1533-position model. Lineage: Bacteria; Bacillati; Bacillota; Bacilli; Caryophanales; Bacillaceae. The record is from RNAcentral.
AGCGAACUGAUUAGAAGCUUGCUUCUAUGACGUUAGCGGCGGACGGGUGAGUAACACGUGGGCAACCUGCCUGUAAGACUGGGAUAACUCCGGGAAACCGGAGCUAAUACCGGAUAACAUUUUCUCUUGCAUAAGAGAAAAUUGAAAGAUGGUUUCGGCUAUCACUUACAGAUGGGCCCGCGGUGCAUUAGCUAGUUGGUGAGGUAACGGCUCACCAAGGCAACGAUGCAUAGCCGACCUGAGAGGGUGAUCGGCCACACUGGGACUGAGACACGGCCCAGACUCCUACGGGAGGCAGCAGUAGGGAAUCUUCCGCAAUGGACGAAAGUCUGACGGAGCAACGCCGCGUGAGUGAUGAAGGCUUUCGGGUCGUAAAACUCUGUUGUUAGGGAAGAACAAGUACAAGAGUAACUGCUUGUACCUUGACGGUACCUAACCAGAAAGCCACGGCUAACUACGUGCCAGCAGCCGCGGUAAUACGUAGGUGGCAAGCGUUAUCCGGAAUUAUUGGGCGUAAAGCGCGCGCAGGCGGUUUCUUAAGUCUGAUGUGAAAGCCCAC